Molecule: long non-coding RNA, 971 nt
Filed under: Capra hircus (goat)
Lineage: Eukaryota; Metazoa; Chordata; Mammalia; Artiodactyla; Bovidae
Description: lncRNA (ENSCHIG00000003530.1)
Rfam family: tRNA (bases 297-368)
Source: RNAcentral
CACUCCAUAGCUGACCUGAGCUGCUGGACUUGGGACAGGGCUUUGCAGGGUGUUACCUCUUAGCGGUCUGAGCGUCAGGCUGGCUGUUGAAUGCAGAGGUGAUGGACUCCUGUCCCAGCUCCCUUGUACAGAUUCUGGGGGUGACCCAGGUACUCCAGAGUGUGCUGAGUAUUCUUGGAGAGGCAGAACACCAAGCCCACCUAUUCCAAGGUCUGGUGACGGCCACCGGGGCGGAAACCAGACCGAGACACCCCCUCCCCUGUGGGGUUAGUACCUGCUUCCGGCCUCCCAAGACUUCCCUGGUGGCUCAGACGGUAAAGCGUCUGCCUACAACGCGGGAGACCUGGGUUCGAUCCCUGGGUGGGGUAGAUCCUCUGGGGAAGGAAAUGGCAACCCACUCUAGUACUCUUGCCUGGAAAAAUCCCAUGGAUGGAGGAGCCUGGUAGGCUACAGUCCAUAGGGUCGCAGAGUUGGACACGACUGAGCUACUUCACUUCACUUGACUUCCGGCCUCCCAGCGCUCAACUUCCUGGGAGGCCCCCCACCUGCUUCUGCGCUCUGCCUUCCGUUUCCUUUCUAAGGCGAUCCUGGUUUUAAGCAGUUUCCUGUGUGAGAAGGUCGGCUGGGGCACGCGACCCCGUGUGAUUAUGUAGGGCCAGGUGGAGGGCAGGUGGGUUCCGGAGGACACGGUCCCUGCCCCGCUGCUGUCAUGAUCUGAGAAGUGGCCACCGAGCAAAAACGGAAUUGAGCAAAACGCCCGGAAAUUUGGUUCCUCAGAUAGGGACUGAAUUUGUAAACGUAUGGGAGACGCUGCCAAGGGCAGUGACUCCAGAAUGGGGCCAGGAAACCUUUCCUCAUGGAGACUGAACAGUUGAUCCAGUUAUCUUUUCAGUGGGGACUUUUUUCGGCGGUUGGGUAGGGGGGGCUUGGGUCCUUGGUCAUAUUGUAGCUUUAAUAAAGACGGUGCCUGG